This 353-nucleotide transfer-messenger RNA is filed under the name Clostridia bacterium. It matches the Rfam family "transfer-messenger RNA". From Rfam's summary of the family: Bacterial tmRNA, also known as 10Sa RNA or SsrA, is named for its dual tRNA and mRNA-like properties. Its role is to liberate the mRNA from a stalled ribosome. To accomplish this part of the tmRNA is used as a reading frame that ends in a translation stop signal. The record is from RNAcentral. Lineage: Bacteria; Bacillati; Bacillota; Clostridia.
GGGGGCGUAAUGGUUUCGACGGGGAUCAUGUGCGUAAAAGAAGCGAGCCGAGGACCCGAUCCUCGUUAAAAGCGGGAAAAGUAUAACUGCGAAUAGAAAUUACUCGGCUCUGCCGGUAGCGGCUUAAUGCCGCCGUCGACCUCAAAGCGCUCACGGCUUUGAGUGUUCGGCGUCAGUGAUGUGAGGAACAGACCCGCUUAAGCUUUGCGGCGCGGUCGGUAUUAUGAAGCUACCUGACAACUAACCCUGCCCACGGGGGUAGUUGAAGGGGAAAUUUAAAUCGUGGGCUGCGCUCGGAGAUGCUUUUACGUUCGGGUUUUCGGACGGGGGUUCGAUUCCCCCCGCCUCCACCA